CACUGAGUAGCUAUCAAGGAAAGCAUUAGCCUUUUAAGCUAACAUAGGUGGUUACCACCCACCCCCAGCGA
RNAcentral lists this transfer RNA (71 nucleotides) under Microcaecilia sp. PZ-2009. Its description in RNAcentral is "tRNA-Lys". It matches the Rfam family "tRNA". Rfam says of the family: Transfer RNA (tRNA) molecules are approximately 80 nucleotides in length. Lineage: Eukaryota; Metazoa; Chordata; Amphibia; Gymnophiona; Siphonopidae. The record is from RNAcentral.